CCUACGGUGAGCAGCAGUGGGGAAUAUUGCACAAUGGGGGGAACCCUGAUGCAGCGACGCCGCGUGGGUGAAGAAGUGAUUCGGUAUGUAAAGCUCUAUCAGCAGGGAAGAAAAUGACGGUACCUGAAUAAGAAGCCCCGGCUAACUACGUGCCAGCAGCCGCGGUAAUACGUAGGGGGCAAGCGUUAUCCGGAUUUACUGGGUGUAAAGGGGGCGUAGACGGCCGUGCAAGUCUGGAGUGAAAGGCGGGGGCUCAACCCCCGGACUGCUCUUGAAACUGGCUGGCUGGAGUGCAGGAGAGGGAGGUGGAAUUCCUGGUGUAGCGGUGAAAUGCGUAGAUAGUAGGAGGAACACCAGUGGCGAAGGCGGCCUACUGGACUGUAACUGACGUUGAGGCUCGAAAGCGUGGGGAGCAAACAGGAUUAGAUACCCCGGUAGUC
RNAcentral lists this ribosomal RNA (440 nucleotides) under uncultured bacterium. RNAcentral describes it as "partial 16S ribosomal RNA". It matches the Rfam family "Bacterial small subunit ribosomal RNA", at positions 338 to 795 of the family's 1533-position model. The record is from RNAcentral.